UUAGUACUUCCUCCGUCUUAAAAUUCUUGUCUUACAUUUGUUUAAAAAUAGAUGUAUCUAAAUACAGAAACAUGACUAGAUACAUUCAUAUCUAGACAAAUGUAAGACUAAAAUUUUGGAUGGAGGGACUAUGUG
Hordeum vulgare subsp. vulgare (domesticated barley) is the source of this 135-nucleotide non-coding RNA. The record is from Rfam. NCBI's taxonomy places the organism in Eukaryota, Viridiplantae, Streptophyta, Magnoliopsida, Poales, Poaceae.